CUCAGGCUCACCCACUCCUAACCACGAGCUGAAUCUUCUGUUCCCUUGCUGACAGCGCUUGUGCUUUUCUUUGGCUGUGCUCUCACCAAGCACCCACAGCACAGCUCCAAGCCCUGCCAUUGCAAAAGAUACAGACUCCUGAGUAUUACGGAUGGGUGAGAGCUGGAUUUUUUUUUCUUAAUAUUAUUUUUAUUUUUUUUUUGUCUACAGCAGAAGAGAUGGGUUUGAAGAAUUCUUCUUUCUCAAAAUGGAGCAAAGGAAUUCAAUUUUUUCUCCCAAGUUUCCUAUGAGACCAAACUAAACCUCCAAAAAACACCUGUAAAAAAACCCUUCUAGAACUGCUCUCAAUGUUUCAUUUUGAUCAAAAUGCAAAGUCUCAUUCUUACUCCACCUUGAAAAUACUUUUUUUUUUUUUUCCCAUGUACUAUAAAACAAAGAUAAAAUCCUGGUAAACUUUUCAACCUGAAAAACUGAAACAUUUCCUUCCAGGAAUUUCAGGACACUUCAGUCAUUCCCAGAAGCACAGAUCCUUCCAAGUAACUCGGGGAGAGUGGAGCCUUGCUGUCAAAGGAGCAUGUUAGCAAAACUCCCCAAAAUGUCUCUGUUUAUCUCCUCAAGCAGACACUGCAGAGGGAAAGCAAGAGUCUAACCACACCAUAACAUGAAGAAAGAAGAGAGAUGAACUACAAUAAUUCUCUUUUCCUCUUGCUAGCCCUAGAAUUUAAUUUCCGGAUUUUAGACUCUGCUAAAGUCUAAACAUAGCAACAUGGCAUUGAAAUGCACCUUUUCUAAAUUUUAGAGAAUCUCUAGUCUUGCGUUUAAAGCAAAUAUAAUGCCUAUUCUGCAUAUCUUCAAAAUAAAUCAACAAGCAAGCAA
Molecule: long non-coding RNA, 876 nt
Organism: Columba livia (rock pigeon)
Lineage: Eukaryota; Metazoa; Chordata; Aves; Columbiformes; Columbidae
Exons: 2
Source: RefSeq, a predicted model, not a curated record